This is a long non-coding RNA of Passer domesticus (house sparrow), 516 nucleotides long. RefSeq lists it as uncharacterized. The record is from RefSeq and is a predicted model, not a curated record. The transcript is spliced from 3 exons. NCBI's taxonomy places the organism in Eukaryota, Metazoa, Chordata, Aves, Passeriformes, Passeridae.
AGCUCAGCCAGGCUGUGCUUUCACACUGUGCCAUCUUUGGCAGCACAGACAGGCGUGGACACCCUCAGCUUCUCCCCUCUGCCUCACACUGGGCCUCAGCUGCCUCCUGUGCUGCCCACCUGCUUUUGUCCAGCACUGCCAUGACGCCUGAGCUGGGUCAAACCCCAAGGAUUCUUUGCUGUCUCUUUUCCCAUUAAAACACGGAGAAGGACAAGAAGAAGGAGAAAGAGGAGGAGGUCUCAGGACUCUGGUGGUCAGAGCAUAAAAGCAAAAACAGACACAAAAGAGGGAAAUCUAUUUCCCAUGGAAAAUUAUCAAAAUGUUUGUUUUGCUUUGGGGAGUAGAGAAAUGAGAUGGAAAUGACAGAGGUCUUUGAUAGAAAUGUAAAGGUGGGAAUACCCAUGAAAUCAACAAAGUCAAAAUGCAAAACUGCCUUCCAGAGAACUGCACUCAAGAGUUUAGGAUCUGUUGUUGCUCUAGUCAAAGGUAAAUUUUUGGACUUAAUAAAAAUACAAC